AUUACAGUUUCAGCAUAUCUUUCCUGAAACUCUGGUGUGCUCUGUAAGAAUUCCAACCCUGGAUGAGUUGCCAAAAGUUCUCGAAGCACAGGUUUGAAGUCUUCCUGAGUGAGGUAUUUGAGAUCUGGUUGCUUUAGAAUUUUAAACAUUUGAGUCGCUGUAUCCAUCGUCAGCAUGCUGCCAUUUAGCCAACAAUUAACAAAGGCAUCCCUUGUCACAAAACCAGUGCCAUUAACAUCAAUCCUUCUAAAAAGAACAGUGGAGAAGAAUGAGGGCAGCUUGCAAAUUUCCUUGGUGACAGAUUUGAAUUCAUGUAAUUGUAGCCCAUCUGAGCGGCCAUAGAAAAAGUGAUUGAUCCUUAACAAACAUUGUUCCUUUAGUUCAUUUGGAGCUGGACGGCCAUUUUGAAAGUAAAACUGAGGUAUCAACUCCUUUACCGGCUCACUGACUACUUUUAGAGGGGAACCUAAAUUAGAAGGGCCAGCUCUCUGUUUCAUUAUACGAGGGGAACCAGAUGUACUUCUGGGAGAAAGAGGGGGAGUACUUCCUCCAGGGAACAUGGAAGGUAAAGAACUGCUUGUGGUAGCAGUUGCAUUAGAAGAGUUUCCAGAGACAUUCAAGGGAGCCCCUGCCUUAGCAUCAUUAAGCAACGAUGUCACCAGCCGGUUAGCGUCAGGGAGCGCGAGCCACUGCUCGAAGAGCUUCUGUGCAAAGUCCGGGUACGAUUUGAAGGCCAAAGGAGCCACCUCCGGCAGCUGCAACAACUCUGCAUCCAGCAUCGCCACAUCGCCAACAGUAUCCAUAAUUUAUAUCAAAUCGAAACAGGCCAAACAUAAGGAUCGCCGAACCCUAGCUUCCAAAACAGACCUCUCUAAACUUUUCACUUUUCAAUGGAUUUACAGAGAUUAAAUUAAUUUAAAUUUGAUAUAUGUCUAGAGAAACACGAUCAAGAAACUCAGAUUUGCAGGUCUAGGAAGGCUAUG
This 983-nucleotide unclassified non-coding RNA is filed under the name Hevea brasiliensis (rubber tree). The record is from RNAcentral. Lineage: Eukaryota; Viridiplantae; Streptophyta; Magnoliopsida; Malpighiales; Euphorbiaceae.